Molecule: unclassified non-coding RNA, 308 nt
Filed under: plant metagenome
Description: partial contains 5.8S ribosomal RNA, internal transcribed spacer 2, and large subunit ribosomal RNA
Rfam family: 5.8S ribosomal RNA (bases 1-105)
Source: RNAcentral
GAAAUGCGAUAAGUAGUGUGAAUUGCAGAAUUCAGUGAAUCAUCGAAUCUUUGAACGCACAUUGCGCCCCUUGGUAUUCCAUGGGGCAUGCCUGUUCGAGCGUCAUUUGUACCCUCAAGCUCUGCUUGGUGUUGGGUGUUUGUCCCCGUCUCCGCGUGGACUCGCCCCAAAGUGAUUGGCAGCCGGCGUACUGGUCCCGGAGCGCAGCACAUGUCGCGCAAACGAGUGCCUUGGUACGGCGGCGUCCAUAAGCCCCUCUCUCACGCUCUUGACCUCGGAUCAGGUAGGGAUACCCGCUGAACUUAAGC